CCUACGGGAGGCAGCAGUGAGGAAUAUUGGUCAAUGGGCGAGAGCCUGAACCAGCCAAGUCGCGUGAGGGAAGACGGUCCUAUGGAUUGUAAACCUCUUUUGCCGGGGAGCAAAACGCGGUACGCGUACCGCAUCGAGCGUACCCGGAGAAAAAGCAUCGGCUAACUCCGUGCCAGCAGCCGCGGUAAUACGGAGGAUGCGAGCGUUAUCCGGAUUUAUUGGGUUUAAAUGGUGCGCAGGCGGCGAGUUAAGUCAGCGGUAAAAUUUCGGGGCUCAACCCCGACAAGCCGUUGAAACUGGCGUGCUAGAGUGGGCGAGAAGUAUGCGGAAUGCGUGGUGUAGCGGUGAAAUGCAUAGAUAUCACGCAGAACUCCGAUUGCGAAGGCAGCAUACCGGCGCCCAACUGACGCUCAGGCACGAAAGCGUGGGUAUCGAACAGGAUUAGAUACCCCAGUAGUC
RNAcentral lists this ribosomal RNA (459 nucleotides) under uncultured bacterium. RNAcentral's name for it is "partial 16S ribosomal RNA". It matches the Rfam family "Bacterial small subunit ribosomal RNA", at positions 338 to 795 of the family's 1533-position model. The record is from RNAcentral.